CUACGGGUGGCAGCAGUGGGGAAUAUUGGGCAAUGGGCGCAAGCCUGACCCAGCAACGCCGCGUGAGGGAAGAAGGUUUUCGGAUUGUAAACCUCUGUCCUUGGGGACGAAGAAGUGACGGUACCCAAGGAGGAAGCUCCGGCUAACUACGUGCCAGCAGCCGCGGUAAUACGUGGGAGCAAGCGUUGUCCGGAAUUACUGGGCGUAAAGGGUGCGUAGGCGGCAUAUUAAGUCAGGUGUGAAAUACUCGGGCUCAACCCGGGGGCUGCAUUUGAAACUGAUAUGCUUGAGUGUGAGAGAGGAAAGUGGAAUUCCUAGUGUAGCGGUGGAAUGCGUAGAUAUUAGGAGGAACACCAGUGGCGAAGGCGACUUUCUGGCUCAUAACUGACGCUGAGGCACGAAAGCGUGGGGAGCAAACAGGAUUAGAUACCCCAGUAGUC
RNAcentral lists this ribosomal RNA (440 nucleotides) under uncultured bacterium. RNAcentral's name for it is "partial 16S ribosomal RNA". It matches the Rfam family "Bacterial small subunit ribosomal RNA", at positions 339 to 795 of the family's 1533-position model. The record is from RNAcentral.